Molecule: RNase P RNA, 292 nt
Filed under: unidentified bacterium SM-A90
Lineage: Bacteria
Description: partial RNAase P
Rfam family: Bacterial RNase P class A
About the family: Ribonuclease P (RNase P) is a ubiquitous endoribonuclease, found in archaea, bacteria and eukarya as well as chloroplasts and mitochondria. Its best characterised activity is the generation of mature 5'-ends of tRNAs by cleaving the 5'-leader elements of precursor-tRNAs.
Source: RNAcentral
GAGGAAAGUCCGGGCUCCGCAGGACAGGAUGCCAGGUAACACCUGGGGGGCGAGAGCCUACGGAAAGUGCCACAGAAAAUAUACCGCCCUGUUUUGGCAGGGUAAGGGUGAAAUGGCGCGGUAAGAGCGCACCGCAUGGCUGGUAACAGGCAUGGCAGGGUAAACCCCAUCCGGAGCAAGACCAAAUAGGGGAACACUGGUGUGGUCCGCACUGUUCCCGGGUAGGUUGCACGAGGUGCUUGGUGACGAGCAUCCCAGAUGAAUGACUGCUCAACGACAGAACCCGGCUUAU